This 209-nucleotide unclassified non-coding RNA is filed under the name plant metagenome. RNAcentral's name for it is "partial contains small subunit ribosomal RNA, internal transcribed spacer 1, and 5.8S ribosomal RNA". The record is from RNAcentral.
UCUCCGUUGGUGAACCAGGGGAGGGAUCAUUACUGGAAUCGCAAGAUCCCACAACCCUGUGAACCUACCGAAACGUUGCCUCGGCGGGUGCCCGGCCCCCGCGCCGGGCGCUGCGCCCGCCGGCGGCCCCCUACUCUGUCUCUGCAGCGUGGCAUCUCAGAGUCCCAGAAAACAAGUCAAAACUUUCAACAACGGAUCUCUUGGCUCUA